This 295-nucleotide long non-coding RNA is filed under the name Daucus carota (carrot). Its description in RNAcentral is "long non-coding RNA (DCAR_LNC004928)". Lineage: Eukaryota; Viridiplantae; Streptophyta; Magnoliopsida; Apiales; Apiaceae. The record is from RNAcentral.
UCCUCAAGUAAUGCACAUAACAAGUAAGGCAUGGCAUUUUAUCAAUUAGCUAUUAUCACUUAAUAGUCUCUAAUUAUACCUAAGUCACUUAAGCAAUUAGUCAAGUAACACAUAAGGUCUAAGACCAACACUUCCUAAUUACACUUUAUUGACCUUAACUUAACCAAAUAAGAGUAAGGCACACUUGUGCCCCACCUCACAAGACUCACCAAUGAAAUGCAUCCUAUUUGACGUACUAAAAUGCUUGCCUUGGCAACACUUGUGUGCCUUGGAAAAAAUGAUGCUUCUAUACUAA